RNAcentral lists this ribosomal RNA (427 nucleotides) under uncultured bacterium. Its description in RNAcentral is "partial 16S ribosomal RNA". It matches the Rfam family "Bacterial small subunit ribosomal RNA", at positions 355 to 774 of the family's 1533-position model. The record is from RNAcentral.
UGGGGAAUAUUGCACAAUGGGCGCAAGCCUGAUGCAGCCAUGCCGCGUGUAUGAAGAAGGCCUUCGGGUUGUAAAGUACUUUCAGCGGGGAGGAAGGUGUUGUGGUUAAUAACCACAGCAAUUGACGUUACCCGCAGAAGAAGCACCGGCUAACUCCGUGCCAGCAGCCGCGGUAAUACGGAGGGUGCAAGCGUUAAUCGGAAUUACUGGGCGUAAAGCGCACGCAGGCGGUCUGUCAAGUCGGAUGUGAAAUCCCCGGGCUCAACCUGGGAACUGCAUCCGAAACUGGCAGGCUUGAGUCUCGUAGAGGGGGGUAGAAUUCCAGGUGUAGCGGUGAAAUGCGUAGAGAUCUGGAGGAAUACCGGUGGCGAAGGCGGCCCCCUGGACGAAGACUGACGCUCAGGUGCGAAAGCGUGGGGAGCAAACA